UACGUAGGGCGCAAGCGUUGUCCGGAAUUAUUGGGCGUAAAGAGCUCGUAGGCGGUUUGUCGCGUCUGUCGUGAAAGCCCACGGCUUAACCGUGGGUCUGCGGUGGAUACGGGCAGACUAGAGGCAGGUAGGGGAGAAUGGAAUUCCCGGUGUAGCGGUGAAAUGCGCAGAUAUCAGGAGGAACACCGGUGGCGAAGGCGGAUCUCUGGGCCGAUACUGACGCUGAGGAGCGAAAGCGUGGGGAGCGAACAGG
This 253-nucleotide ribosomal RNA is filed under the name uncultured bacterium. RNAcentral's name for it is "partial 16S ribosomal RNA". It matches the Rfam family "Bacterial small subunit ribosomal RNA", at positions 524 to 776 of the family's 1533-position model. The record is from RNAcentral.